RNAcentral lists this long non-coding RNA (219 nucleotides) under Capsicum annuum. RNAcentral describes it as "long non-coding RNA (CANN_LNC015350)". The record is from RNAcentral. Lineage: Eukaryota; Viridiplantae; Streptophyta; Magnoliopsida; Solanales; Solanaceae.
UCUCUCCCAUAGUGAUGAGCUCUGUGAUGCAUUGCUCUCUCUGCAGCGCAUUGCUUUCUCCUACAGAAAAAGAGGCACAAUGCAUGGAUCUGUCCCACACAGUUGUAAGGUUUUAGUGCACAAGAGGCAUUUGAGUUAUUUACAUCAUCCCAAUCCGUCCUUAACACAAUUUGGACUUCCAAAAGGGUAUUAUUUACCCCUUUCACUCCAAUUUUCUCU